Molecule: ribosomal RNA, 483 nt
Filed under: uncultured bacterium
Lineage: Bacteria
Description: partial 16S ribosomal RNA
Rfam family: Bacterial small subunit ribosomal RNA
Source: RNAcentral
GACGAACGCUGGCGGCGUGCUUAACACAUGCAAGUCGAACGCUGAAGCUCAGCUUUUGUUGGGUGGAUGAGUGGCGAACGGGUGAGUAACACGUGAGUAACCUGCCCCCUUCUUUGGGAUAACGCCCGGAAACGGGUGCUAAUACUGGAUAUUCACUGGUCUUCGCAUGGGGGUUGGUGGAAAGGGUUUUUCUGGUGGGGGAUGGGCUCGCGGCCUAUCAGCUUGUUGGUGGGGUGAUGACCUACCAAGGCUUUGACGGGUAGCCGGCCUGAGAGGGUGACCGGUCACAUUGGGACUGAGAUACGGCCCAGACUCCUACGGGAGGCAGCAGUGGGGAAUAUUGCACAAUGGGCGCAAGCCUGAUGCAGCGACGCCGCGUGAGGGAUGGAGGCCUUCGGGUUGUGAACCUCUUUCGCUCAUGGUCAAGCCGCAACAAUGGUUGUGGUGAGGGUAGUGGGUAAAGAAGCGCCGGCUAACUACGUG